GUUAUUUCUUACUUUUCGUUCACGUACUUGUUCGCGUCUUGCUGUGCUGCCUAAAGUAGCAAUUAUAAUUUUCCACCAACUACUAUGCUUUCCCCACGCGUCAUUGCUAUGACGGCAUGCUUUCAUUACAAAGCAUUCUUAGUUCUUCGCAUAGGCCCUAUCUAUGUAAGUAUAAUUUCAUCAGUGAACAACUUUUAUUAAGUUGCAGAGAAAACAUGUCAUUACAUGUUGUUUUGUUUUAUUAAAACUCCUCUUUUAGAAAUGACCAUGGUUCCCCUGUGUGGAACUGCCAUAUCUAUACAUGCAUCGGUGGCUCGGUGCCUUUAGGCUGUCUCUAGCAGCUUACCCAUCGUAUCUCUUAUCCCAUCUCCUAUUUCAAACUCCACUCUUAGACUGUCUCCAGCAGAUCGCACAUAUGGUAAGCGAUGUGACGUGAGAAAUUGGAUAGGUAUAAGAUUCAGUCAUGCCUGUAGGUAUGAUCUUAAGAGACUACAUGCAUGUUCACAAGGAAAUUAGCUUCUUGAAGUCACUCUGACUUAUUACCAAUUCAAAUUGGACGCUCUUAUUUUACUCAAUGAAUUACUGAUAUGAUACAUUCAAUUUUAGUUGCCACUCCCAUAAUUUAGGUAGUUGAUGAUGCACAAUGACAGCUAGGAAAGUUUUCCAGCAAAUUUGAUCAGGGCUUUGACUCAGCCCUUACAGACUCCAAGCCGCUUACAUGCGCCCCCACACUGCGUAGGCCUCUUGAGUCUAUUUCGCCUCAGUCUGUUGUAAACUAGCGAGAUGUGUGUUGGCUUGUCUUUUUUUUUGAACGUCGCAGGAGAGCUGCGAGUCAUUUCAUUAAGGAGAGAAAAAACAAGAGUACGACGCAACUGGAAAAAUAGCGUCGUGUACAAGGCGGUUAGGAACUAACGCGCCACAGCGACACACACACACGACCACAUCACUCAUACACGACCACAGCCACCCGAGACCUGGGCUAAUCCCCUGAGAUGAGUCGGCAGGUGAGCAGUUCUCUGAGGCGAGAGGCACCUGCCGCACUCCAAAGAGCACAUUCAGUGGCCACGAUUUGCAGGACAGUUCGAACACAUGGCCUUUUUCCUUCGAGCACGCAGGCAUCUCGAUGCUUCCAAAUUUCCCAGGCGACCAGAAUGAUGAGGGAAUUAACACUUUUUUUCAUCUCUUUCGGGACUGCUUUAGUAGCUGUACACCACCAGCCCACAAAACGGCGACAACCAGGCUGAGGUGCAAGGGCAUUCAGCCCCAAGCUAUUGAGGGUAGAUGUCCAAACCUCACGCGCGAGAACACAACCAAUCAGGACAUGUUGGAUAGUCUCCUCAGCUUGGUCACAAAGGGGGCAGGCAGAUGGAUGAGGCAGCCCCCUUUUGGCAAGCCUAUCAGCCGUCCAACACCGGUUCUUGAUAGCCAACCAAACAAUGAACUUGCAUUUUAAAGGUGCCCAAGACUUCCAAAUACGCCUCCAGGGGCCAAACUUAAUUGUCCCCGUGAAAAAGGCCUCGUAAGCUGAUUUACUGGUGUAGUCCCCAUGAUUUGUUAGCCGCCAUACGUGCUGAUCUGGAACUUCCUGUUGGAGCGCCAAGUUAUCAAAGAGGUUCCAGAGCUGUAAAUACUCCACAAGCACCUGUACUGAUAGGGCGCCUCUUAUAUCAGAAAUCCAACUAUGGUUCUGCAACCCUUGCGCCAUUGUCCUAUGUCUCUUAGCCCUGUUGGGGAUCAACUGAAACAAACUGGGGGCCCAGUACGAAACUGAUUUUCCUUGCAGCCAUCGAUCUGUCCAGAAUUUAGUUGAUUCACCAUUGCCCACCACAGUAACAACAGCAACGUCAAACAGGGCUUGCGCAAGAGGAGGUACUUCGAGGGGGAGGCCAGCCCAAGGGCGGGAGGCAUCCGUCUUCUGCAGCCACAACCAACGAAUACGCAAGGCCCAACCGAACAGCUCCAAGUUAAGUAUACCUAGACCUCCAAACUGCAGAGGACGUUGAACACAAUCCCAGGAAACAAGACAGCUGCCCCCAUUUGCAUUUUCCUGCCCUUUCCACAGGAAACCCCUUCUUCUUUUAUCAAUAGCUUUGAGCACCUAUGAUGCGCGGAUACUUCACAAAACUCACGUACCGGUGUCGGAUACCGUAUCAGAUACGGAUACUUCCCGGAUACUUCCGGAUACGUAUCGGAGACGUAUCGGAUAUUUUUGUAGAUUUAAAUAAAUAAAAAAGCCGGAUACUCCUGGGACACCUUCCCGAUACCUGUGCGAUACGUUCCAACCCUAGGCUUCAUAUACGCACGUACUCCUGUAUCGCAUAGCCGCUGCCCCGAAGCCACCUCUUUGUGCCUCCACUUGCGUGCCGCUAGCCACAGCCGCUCGUCGAUCUGAGCUGCCGCCGCCGCCGUCGUUCGCCGAUUGGAGCCACCGCCGUCACCCAGUCAGUGGCCGAUUGGAGCCGCCUCCGCGAGGCCUGUGGUCGUCAGCCCGUCAGCCGCCGAUUGGAGCCGCCGCUGCGAGGUCUGUAGCCGCUUUCUUCCCUUCUUGCUUCUCAAUCUCCUCCUUUCUCCUCAAUCUGCUCACUGCUACUUGUCUGGUCUUGUUAGAUUCAGGGCAGCGGCUCUGGGUGAAGGCCGCUGCCUGCUACUUUUGCUAGAUUCGGGGCAGCGGCUCUGGAUGAAAUCUAGUUUUGCUAGGUUUGAUGGCUUGAUGGCCUAAACUUUAUCUAGUUUUGUUAGAUUCUGGUCUUGUUAGAUUCGGGGCAGCGGCUCUGGAUGAAAUCUAGUUUUGCUGCACAGCAACAGCCGCUGCCUGCUACUUUUUUGCUGCUCUGGGUGAAGGCUGUAGGCUGCAGCAGCAGUGAUACCGUUGCUGCAAGUAUCACAGCCGAUGGAAGCAGUUUUCUUUAUUUAUUAUGUGAUAUUGUGGUCUAUUAGUGUUAGAACUUGAAGACUGAACACUGAAGUUUCUAGGUUUGAUGGCCUAAACUUUAUCUAUGUACUAUUUGUGAAAUUGUGUGGUCCACUAUUUCAGCAUUUAAUUUUAUUUAUAAUAUUUACGUAUCGCCGUAUCGGUGUUUUUUGAGAAAUGGCGUAUCGGGGUAUCGGCGUAUCGCGUAUCCGUAUCGCCGUAUCAGGGCAACACAGUUGAGCACCCAUUUAGGGAGGUCCAACCGUCCAAGGCUAGCAUAGAGUACACAGGGAUGGAAGACUACCACUCUCACCAUCACAAGGCGACCAGCACGGCUCAUGAGCGAUGCCUUCCAGCCUGGCAGUUUGUUGGAUACUUUAUCAACAAGGGGCUGCAGCGCUGCAUUUGUCAGUUUCCGAAUUGACAGAGGAAGUCCUAGGUAAUUGCAUGGAAACUCCUUUAACUCACAAGGCAACAGCUCAGAGAUAACAGCCAAAUCAUCGUCUCCACACUGGAUAGGUGUGACUGAACUUUUGGUAAUGUUGGUCUUGAGGCCUGUAGAAUGCCCAAAAAUAUCAAGGAGCCGAGUGACCAUAAGGAGGUCAGAUCUUAGUGGCCGGAGGAAUAUGACAACAUCAUCCGCAUAAAAAGAAAUACGAUGUUUAGCCUGCUGAUGAGCAAUGGGCUGUAAGAGAUGCUCCUGAGUUGCAAAAUGAACAAUAGAAUUUAGAACUUCCAUGACCAGUAUAAAUAGCAUGGGUGACAGAGGGUCCCCUUGACGAAGGCCUCGACGGUGAGAGAUGCAGUCCCCAGGUUCACCAUUGAUUAGAAUUCUGGUAGAGGAUGUGGACAGCAGCAAACUGAUCAGAUUACACCACUUGCGACCAAAACCAAGAUGUUGCAGAAGCUCCAACAAGAAAGCCCAGGACACAGAAUCAAAGGCCUUGGAAAUAUCCAGUUUUAAGAGCACAUGAGGCUCCUUAUGAUGUAACGUCCUUGCAAGCUGCUGCACCAUCAAAAAAUUAUCCAGGAUGCUCCUCCCUUUGACAAAAGCACUUUGAUUGAUGGUGACAAGCUUGGGCAGAUGAGGAGCCAGACGGUUAGCAAGGAGUUUAGCCACCAGUUUAGCAAAACUGUGAAUUAGACUAAUAGGCCUGAAAUCCUUGACAUGUAGGGCUUCAGUCUUUUUAGGCACAAGAGUGAUGAAAGCGGAGUUGAUAAGCCUGAAAUUGAAAACAUGGCCCCUCUGCACAGCGAGGAGCGCAGCCAAGACGUCAUCCUUGAUUGAAUUCCAACAGACCUUAUAGAAUCGGCCCGUGAAACCGUCAGGCCCUGGAGCUUUGUCCAAUGGAAUCUCUCUGAUAGUAGCCCAGACCUCUUCCUCAGUAAAUGGCACCUCAAGCUCAGAGAGGUCAUGCUGCUGCACGCCUAAGGAAAGAAAAUCCAGAGUGAAGUCUCUUUGCUCAGCCGAACCGAUCAAAGCAUCAUAAAAAUCGAGGGCUGCUCGAAGUUUGUCUUCCGGAGAUGUGACAACCCGAUCAUUAACAAUAAACUUGGCAAUGAUUUUUUUUUCUUGCGGUAAUGUGCCUGUUGGUGAAAAAAGGAGGUAUUGUCAUCGCCCUCCCGGAGGUAAAGAAUACGGGAACGUAAUCUUGCAACCGUGUGCUCAAGAGAGGCCAGAUCGAGGGAAUGCAUCUUUAAUUUUUUUUUCUAAAACGCUCCUCAUCAGCUGAGAGGGCACGGCUAUCUCUUGCAAUUUCCAAGCGAUGUAAGAUUUCAUUAGCCAUUUCAAGCUGCAGCCUAAUGUUGCCGACUUUGUGUUGACUCCAUUUUUGUAAGCCUUUACUAAGGCGCUGAAGUUUCAGAAAUAUGCGCUCCACCGGGUAGCUAGAAGCAACUGGAGCAUUCCAAUUUUGUGAGACAGCAUCCAUGAAACCAGGAAGUUUGGGCCAGAAACUUUCGAAAUGGAAACGUCGUUUGCCCUGAGUGACAAUAUUCAGACCCAGGACCAGAGGGCAAUGAUCAGAUACUCCAGAAGCUGCACUCUGGAGGAGAGAAUCAGGAAAAAUAUCAUCCCAGUCAGCACAGCAAAAGGCUCUAUCAAGCCGCACAAGGGUGGGGGACGACCUCUCAUUUGACCAGGUAAAUUUGCGACCGUGCAAAUGAAGUUCCUUGACAUUGCUAUCAUCCAGAAACCUCUGAAAUCUUCCCAUCAAUACUCUAUUCAGAUUGGCAUUAUUUUUGUCUGCAGCUUGGUAGAUCAUGUUGAAGUCGCCUGCCAGCAACCAAGGGCCAACACAGAGAGCUCUGACCUCUCUUAGCUCCUGCAAGAAUUGUAGCUUCAGAUCAUCCUCUUGGGGGCCAUAGACACCAGUGAACCACCAAUUCCUACCCUCUUGCUCACAAACUGGACAGAAACCGAAAAUCUGUCCACACGGGAAGAGAUUGCAUGACAGCAGGCCCCUUUCCAAGCAAUGAACACGCCACCUCGAGUACCAUCAGCGGGGAGAGCCACGAACUUGUCAAAAGCAGACCCAAGAGCAGAGAGGAGGAGCUGUGACGACACGCUUGCAAUCUUGGUUUCUUGAAGACACACGAUGUCAGCGCUGGAGGAAAGGACAGUGUUGCGUACAGAGUUUCGCCUGGCCGUCAGAUUGAGGCCCCCCGGGUGUUCCAGACUAGGAUGGAUGACAGAUUCAUGAGGAACACGAGGCACGACCAAAAGGACAAAGGUUCCUCAGAAACCGAUCAGCAGCUCCCUCUCCAGGACGUCCUCAUCAUGAUCUGUCUGCCAACCGAAAAUAGCAGCAAGAGCAGCAAGCUCCACAUCAGACAGAGGCGUCUCGAAUAAUUACUAUAUACAAUGUCGUGCAACAAAACGUUCACCCGUAACGCCACGUCGCCUUCUUAAUAUCAGCCAUCUGAUAUGCAUCACACGGUUGUUCCUACUCUUCCGCUUAUCUCUGCUAGGCUGCCCUCGCUCCUUUUGGAAGCGGCUUCGUCGCUUUUUCACCGACGACGCCAUCCUUUUUCGCCGCCGGCAACAUCUGUGAGACUGUGACCGCGUAAGGUUCCUGCUUCACUUCGCGUCGCUUGCGAUUUCUCUCUCUUCUUCUACUUUCCAGCCUCUCUGGCGAUGCACCACAGAGGACACAGCACGCAUGCGACGAGCUCCAAGCAGCUUGCAUUAUUUGGAGCUUUGUCUGCAAGACGGGAGCCUUCGGCUGCCUUACUCCUCUUCUUCGCCCUGGGCCCGAGCUAGGCCGGCGUGGCUGCACCGCUCCGUCCUCGACAAGCCCGCGUCACCGAGUGCCUCGUCGGAGACAGCACUGGCACUGUCCUCGUCGCCGCCCGCACGAUCAGGAAUGUUGCUUGCGGCUCGCUUUGCUCUCCUCUCUCGUCCCGGCGUGGUCGCACCCGCGCAGCGCCUCCAAUGGCGACGACGACGAAGACAGCAAGUCUCAGCAUGGGGCGAGUCUGAGUGCAUAGGCUACGCCCUAGCAAAGUCACUGCUAAGGCCGAACAUUGUACACCAUGGUGGUUAUCUCUCUCCAAUUCCAUCUACUCAAGAAUGUCUCACUCAUGGAUGAUGCACACCACGUGCUCGAUGAUUUGGCUCUAUAACAAUUUUUGGUGCUAGCCUCAGAUUAUUUCUGUUUGAGAGUUAUGUAAGGUACUACUAACUCUGCAUUUUUUAGUUAUGGUUUCGAAACAUGUAUUUUCAAACCAUGACUAAUCAAGUAUAUUCUCCACCAUUAAUUCCUCUAGGCAUGACCUGGAAAACUGCUUAGCUGAUGCUGUAACAUUUUGAUGUCUCUGUUCUCUGCUUUCUGGAGGUGCCAUCCCCUCUCUUUGGGGAGGCUUCUGGUUAAACUUGCUUCAGUCACGAUGUUACUGUGCUGGAUAAAGAAGAUGCCAAAGCUGAACUUUGAGGUUGCUAAACCAUGCACCCAGAAUCGGAGUUUUGUAGUUGAAGCUCCAUGUGGUAGGAAUGUGCUCACAAAGCAAAUCAAAUCUCUUUUCCAAUAACAGGGCCGUUAGUAUCCUUUUCCCUUUUAUUUUGACCAGAAUCUCCAUAUCUUUUAUCUGCAGAGUUGAGAUACUUGCAACUAUACACAAUAGAAUGUUCUUCGAACCUCAAGCUGCAGCUCUUGCUCCAACUAUUACUUGCCUACUUUGUUUUUCCUAUCAGUAAUGCUUGCUGACUCAUUGAAACAAACCAGUCUUUCCUUUGUUUGGUUUUACAUUUUGAGAGCUUUUCUUAAAAACAACCGGAGGCUGGAUUGGUUAUGUGCAAAACUAUUAUAGAGGCCGGAAUAAAAUUUCUAUUUUCUAAGAAAAUAGAAAUAAACCAAAUACGAGUCCGAGUCCGACUAUGUGCAAUGUACAAGAAUAUCUUAAAAUAAGGGAGAUACUAUCCUACAGGUGUUUGGUUUUCAUUUUUUCAUGUUUAUUAUCUAUAUGAUCAUGACUCAUAUGGCUCAGGUCAUGUUAUCUAUUGUAGCGUCUUCUUGUCUCCCUCGACAUUGCCCGUCUGCUUCCUUGCGCCUUGCUUGUGCUGUGGGCUCCCUUGUCUCGCCUCUUUUCCAGCCGUGGCCAAUUGUGUCCAUUGCUGGGUUUGCCACCACCUUCCCGUGUCAAGGCAAACCCCUCCAUUUCGAGCACGUUCCAAACCCAAACUUCACAUUGCCUUCUUUUGAGAGCUACGUAAGGACCCGGGGAGCACGGCUUUCCACCGGCGACACUUCUGCUGCGCCGCGGGGCAGAGGCAGGCACAGCCACUCUCUUUCUCCUCCUCCUAGGAGAAACGGGGAGAGGCAUUGUCUUGAAACUGUUUCAGCCAUGUUUACUAGGCCCUGACAAACAAAUGUUCCAAAUAAGAAAUACUUGAAUGUGUUCUGAUGAAAUGUGCUGUUUUUGAUUUGUCAAUAAUGCAUCAAGCCAAUAUUUUCCUGCCAUGUUUUCUGAUGCCCGCUACAUGUUCAGUGUGUUUACUGUACCCUUUUCUUUCUUUUCUUUUGUUUGCAUAUAAUGUUUGCCGACUUCAGUUUAC
Long non-coding RNA from Zea mays, 7964 nucleotides. RefSeq lists it as uncharacterized. Lineage: Eukaryota; Viridiplantae; Streptophyta; Magnoliopsida; Poales; Poaceae. The transcript has 3 exons. The record is from RefSeq and is a predicted model, not a curated record.